UAAGGAAUAUUGGUCAAUGGGCGCAAGCCUGAACCAGCCAUGCCGCGUGCAGGAAGACGGCCCUAUGGGUUGUAAACUGCUUUUGUACGGGAAAAAACCCCGGGUUUCGUACCUGGGCUGAUGGUACCGUAAGAAUAAGGAUCGGCUAACUCCGUGCCAGCAGCCGCGGUAAUACGGAGGAUCCAAGCGUUAUCCGGAUUUAUUGGGUUUAAAGGGUGCGCAGGCGGAAUGAUUAGUCAGUGGUGAAAUCCUACGGCUCAACUGUAGAACUGCCAUUGAUACUGUCAUUCUUGAGUAUAAUUGAUGUGGGCGGAAUGUGUCAUGUAGCGGUGAAAUGCUUAGAUAUGACACAGAACACCGAUCGCGAAGGCAGCUCACAAAGCUAUAACUGACGCUCAGGCACGAAAGCGUGGGGAUCAAACAGG
This 425-nucleotide ribosomal RNA is filed under the name uncultured bacterium. Its description in RNAcentral is "bacterial SSU rRNA". It matches the Rfam family "Bacterial small subunit ribosomal RNA", at positions 355 to 776 of the family's 1533-position model. The record is from RNAcentral.